This is a non-coding RNA of Neolamprologus brichardi, 725 nucleotides long. The record is from RefSeq and is a predicted model, not a curated record. Lineage: Eukaryota; Metazoa; Chordata; Actinopteri; Cichliformes; Cichlidae.
UUUCAUGGCUAAGUUUUUCCUUUGUACUUGACUUGAAAGUUUUUUAAACCUGAGCUCUGUGUCUGGGUGUUCCUACAUGUCCUGAAGGAAGGAAGGAAAAAACAUGGAAAAAAUGAGGUGUUAUGAUGGAUAUUAGUUUCCUUUUUUUGUUUUUUAUCAUAUAAAAUCUUUUUGACUGUUUAGGGAAUUUAUGCUUCACUGUUAAACAUUUCUCAAGCUGUGAAGUCACUCUGCUAUAAGCAUCACAAAAUGUAAUUAUUUGUUACUUUUUUUUAAGUAUAUUGAUUGGUAAAGCAUGGAGCUGAUUCUGAGUGUUUUACGGUUUGAUUUGUGGACACAAAUAUAAAAGUUCUUCUUUUUGUUUUACAGUUUUAGAAGUUUUAUAGCCUAAAACUAUAAACUUUCUUGCCUUAAAUUAGCUUCUUUGUGUCAUAUUUCAUCUGGAAAACUAAACCUGUGUGUUAUUCUCAUUAAAUAUAUCCUCUGAAACUUGACUCUGAGACCGGCUGCCUUGUUUUUGGGGUGUGUUUACCCGCUGGUGUUGGCUGCGAAGCUGCUGCCGCAGCAAAUUCUGUUAGACAGAUUCUCUGGGAAAGGAAUUGAAGUGUUAACUCCCCAAGGAUAUUUAGUUAUGAACCCCGUAAAGGAGCUUAUCGCAGGCGUCAGUGGCCACAUUUGACCCCAACCCCAAAAUCGUGAAGAACAGAAACCGUAAACAUGUCUGA